UGCCAGCAGCCGCGGUAAUACGGAGGGUGCAAGCGUUAAUCGGAAUUACUGAACGUAAAGCGCGCGUAGGCGGUUUGUUAAGUGAGAUGUGAAAGCCCAGGGCUCAACCUUGGAACUGCAUCUCAUACUGACAGGCUAGAGUAUGGUAGAGGAGGGUAGAAUUCCAUGUGUAGCGGUGAAAUGCGUAGAGAUGUGAAAAAAUACCAAUAACGAAAACAACCCCCUGAAUCGAUACUGACGCUAAGGUGCGAAAGCGUGAAAAGCAAACAAAAUUAGAUA
Molecule: ribosomal RNA, 279 nt
Filed under: uncultured bacterium
Lineage: Bacteria
Description: partial 16S ribosomal RNA
Rfam family: Bacterial small subunit ribosomal RNA
Source: RNAcentral